RNAcentral lists this ribosomal RNA (105 nucleotides) under Jaculus jaculus (lesser Egyptian jerboa). The record is from RNAcentral. Lineage: Eukaryota; Metazoa; Chordata; Mammalia; Rodentia; Dipodidae.
AUAUAUAGCCAUACCACCCUGAACUCACCCAAUCUUGUCUGAUCUUGAAAGCUAAGCAGGGUCAGACUUGGUUAGUACAAGGAGAUACCACAAGGUCAAUGAAAU